This is a regulatory RNA element of 103 nucleotides. It matches the Rfam family "Pyrrolysine insertion sequence mttB". The record is from Rfam.
AUGACCGAUGCCAAGGCCAUCGAUGCGCAAGCCGGUGUUGAAAAGGGCAUUACCAGCCUGGCGGCGGCCCUGGCGGGUGGAAAUCUGAUCUAUGAAAGUUCGG